Molecule: unclassified non-coding RNA, 391 nt
Filed under: soil metagenome
Description: partial contains 5.8S ribosomal RNA, internal transcribed spacer 2, and large subunit ribosomal RNA
Rfam family: 5.8S ribosomal RNA (bases 1-122)
Source: RNAcentral
GAUGAAGAACGUAGCGAAAUGCGAUACUUGGUGUGAAUUGCAGAAUCCCGUGAACCAUCGAGUCUUUGAACGCAAGUUGCGCCCGAAGCCACUAGGCCGAGGGCACGCCUGCCUGGGCGUCACAGGCCGUUGCCCCCCCAUCUACUCCUUCGGGAUUGCGGGGGGGCGGAUGAUGGCCUCCUGUGCGCCUAGCCGCGCGGUUGGCAUAAAUACCAAGUCCUCGGCGACGCACGCCACGACAAUCGGUGGUUGCGAAACCUCGGUUGCCCGUCGUGUGCGUUCGUCGCGCAUCGAGGGCUCGAAAAAAUGCUCGGCUCCGGCUGGGCUUUCAACGCGACCCCAGGUCAGGCGGGGUUACCCGCUGAAUUUAAGCAUAUCAAUAAGCGGAGGA